This 341-nucleotide ribosomal RNA is filed under the name uncultured bacterium. Its description in RNAcentral is "bacterial SSU rRNA". It matches the Rfam family "Bacterial small subunit ribosomal RNA", at positions 30 to 371 of the family's 1533-position model. The record is from RNAcentral.
AUUGAACGCUGGCGGCAUGCCUUACACAUGCAAGUCGAACGGCAGCGGACCUUCGGGUGCCGGCGAGUGGCGAACGGGUGAGUAAUAUAUCGGAACGUACCUUUCAGUGGGGGAUAACGUAGCGAAAGUUACGCUAAUACCGCAUAUUCUGUGAGCAGGAAAGCAGGGGAUCGCAAGACCUUGCGCUGAUUGAGCGGCCGAUAUCAGAUUAGCUAGUUGGUGAGGUAAAGGGCUCACCAAGGCGACGAUCUGUAGCGGGUCUGAGAGGAUGAUCCGCCACACUGGGACUGAGACACGGCCCAGGACUCCUACGGGAGGCAGCAGUGGGGAAUUUUGGACAA